Molecule: unclassified non-coding RNA, 29 nt
Filed under: Saccharomyces cerevisiae S288C
Lineage: Eukaryota; Fungi; Ascomycota; Saccharomycetes; Saccharomycetales; Saccharomycetaceae
Description: Intron_BPS from Saccharomyces cerevisiae S288C (PDB 5GMK, chain M)
Source: RNAcentral
UUUUAAGAACUAGAUACUAACACAUUUUU